GACGAACGCUGGCGGCGUGCUUAACACAUGCAAGUCGAACGGAAAGGCCCUGCUUUUGUGGGGUGCUCGAGUGGCGAACGGGUGAGUAACACGUGAGUAACCUGCCCUUGACUUUGGGAUAACUUCAGGAAACUGGGGCUAAUACCGGAUAGGAGCUCCUGCUGCAUGGUGGGGGUUGGAGAGUUUCGGCGGUUGGGGAUGGACUCGCGGCUUAUCAGCUUGUUGGUGGGGUAGUGGCUUACCAAGGCUUUGACGGGUAGCCGGCCUGAGAGGGUGACCGGCCACAUUGGGACUGAGAUACGGCCCAGACUCCUACGGGAGGCAGCAGUGGGGAAUAUUGCACAAUGGGCGGAAGCCUGAUGCAGCAACGCCGCGUGCGGGAUGACGGCCUUCGGGUUGUAAACCGCUUUCGCCUGUGACGAAGCGUGAGUGACGGUAAUGGGUAAAGAAGCACCGGCUAACUACGUGCCAGCAGCCGCGGUGAUACGUAGGGUGCGAGCGUUGUCCGGAUUUAUUGGGCGUAAGGGCUCGUAGGUGGUUGAUCGCGUCGGAAGUGUAAUCUUGGGGCUUAACCCUGAGCGUGCUUUCGAUACGGGUUGACUUGAGGAAGGUAGGGGAGAAUGGAAUUCCUGGUGGAGCGGUGGAAUGCGCAGAUAUCAGGAGGAACACCAGUGGCGAAGGCGGUUCUCUGGGCCUUUCCUGACGCUGAGGAGCGAAAGCGUGGGGAGCGAACAGGCUUAGAUACCCUGGUAGUCCACGCUGUAAACGGUGGGUACUAGGUGUGGGGUCCAUUCCACGGGUUCCGUGCCGUAGCUAACGCUUUAAGUACCCCGCCUGGGGAGUACGGCCGCAAGGCUAAAACUCAAAGGAAUUGACGGGGCCCCGCACAAGCGGCGGAGCAUGCGGAUUAAUUCGAUGCAACGCGUAGAACCUUACCUGGGUUUGACAUGGAUCGGGAGUGCUCAGAGAUGGGUGUGCCUCUUUUGGGGUCGGUUCACAGGUGGUGCAUGGCUGUCGUCAGCUCGUGUCGUGAGAUGUUGGGUUAAGUCCCGCAACGAGCGCAACCUUUGUUCACUGUUGCCAGCACGUUAUGGUGGGGACUCAGUGGAGACCGCCGGGGUCAACUCGGAGGAAGGUGGGGAUGACGUCAAGUCAUCAUGCCCCUUAUGUCCAGGGCUUCACGCAUGCUACAAUGGCUGGUACAGAGAGUGGCGAGCCUGUGAGGGUGAGCGAAUCUCGGAAAGCCGGUCUCAGUUCGGAUUGGGGUCUGCAACUCGACCUCAUGAAGUCGGAGUCGCUAGUAAUCGCAGAUCAGCAACGCUGCGGUGAAUACGUUCCCGGG
This 1342-nucleotide ribosomal RNA is filed under the name uncultured bacterium. RNAcentral describes it as "16S ribosomal RNA". It matches the Rfam family "Bacterial small subunit ribosomal RNA", at positions 28 to 1378 of the family's 1533-position model. The record is from RNAcentral.